Molecule: ribosomal RNA, 1363 nt
Filed under: uncultured bacterium
Lineage: Bacteria
Description: bacterial SSU rRNA
Rfam family: Bacterial small subunit ribosomal RNA
Source: RNAcentral
AUUGAACGCUGGCGGCAGGCCUAACACAUGCAAGUCGAACGGUAACAGGAAACAGCUUGCUGUUUCGCUGACGAGUGGCGGACGGGUGAGUAAUGUCUGGGAAACUGCCUGAUGGAGGGGGAUAACUACUGGAAACGGUAGCUAAUACCGCAUAACGUCGCAAGACCAAAGAGGGGGACCCUCGGGCCUCUUGCCAUCGGAUGUGCCCAGAUGGGAUUAGCUUGUUGGUGGGGUAACGGCUCACCAAGGCGACGAUCCCUAGCUGGUCUGAGAGGAUGACCAGCCACACUGGAACUGAGACACGGUCCAGACUCCUACGGGAGGCAGCAGUGGGGAAUAUUGCACAAUGGGCGCAAGCCUGAUGCAGCCAUGCCGCGUGUAUGAAGAAGGCCUUCGAGUUGUAAAGUACUUUCAGCGGGGAGGAAGGGAGUAAAGUUAAUACCUUUGCUCAUUGACGUUACCCGCAGAAGAAGCACCGGCUAACUCCGUGCCAGCAGCCGCGGUAAUACGGAGGGUGCAAGCGUUAAUCGGAAUUACUGGGCGUAAAGCGCACGCAGGCGGUUUGUUAAGUCAGAUGUGAAAUCCCCGGGCUCAACCUGGGAACUGCAUCUGAUACUGGCAAGCUUGAGUCUCGUAGAGGGGGGUAGAAUUCCAGGUGUAGCGGUGAAAUGCGUAGAGAUCUGGAGGAAUACCGGUGGCGAAGGCGGCCCCCUGGACGAAGACUGACGCUCAGGUGCGAAAGCGUGGGGAGCAAACAGGAUUAGAUACCCUGGUAGUCCACGCCGUAAACGAUGUCGACUUGGAGGUUGUGCCCUUGAGGCGUGGCUUCCGGAGCUAACGCGUUAAGUCGACCGCCUGGGGAGUACGGCCGCAAGGUUAAAACUCAAAUGAAUUGACGGGGGCCCGCACAAGCGGUGGAGCAUGUGGUUUAAUUCGAUGCAACGCGAAGAACCUUACCUGGUCUUGACAUCCACGGAAGUUUUCAGAGAUGAGAAUGUGCCUUCGGGAACCGUGAGACAGGUGCUGCAUGGCUGUCGUCAGCUCGUGUUGUGAAAUGUUGGGUUAAGUCCCGCAACGAGCGCAACCCUUAUCCUUUGUUGCCAGCGGUCCGGCCGGGAACUCAAAGGAGACUGCCAGUGAUAAACUGGAGGAAGGUGGGGAUGACGUCAAGUCAUCAUGGCCCUUACGACCAGGGCUACACACGUGCUACAAUGGCGCAUACAAAGAGAAGCGACCUCGCGAGAGCAAGCGGACCACAUAAAGUGCGUCGUAGUCCGGAUUGGAGUCUGCAACUCGACUCCAUGCAGUCGGAAUCGCUAGUAAUCGUGGAUCAGAAUGCCACGGUGAAUACGUUCCCGGGCCU